CACUGCUCAUCAUGCGCGCAUGGGAACGGGGCACAUGCUAGCUACUGAUGCAGGGCAAAGCGGGAGCGUAUAAUAAGACGGGAAGGAUGGAUGGGCCAGAUCUGCUCUCCUCCUCGAGACCUCCGUUUUGUUCCCGGGGCAGGCAAGGACGGCAGAAACGGCAUUGCCCCUCUGAUGCCAUGCCAUUCUUGUAGCAGCUCUCGGAUGGCUCGCUAGUCGCUACUAGCUUACGACAAUGAUGGCUGCUGCGCUGGGCCGCGGCACGGCGGCGGGCACCAAAGGCGGCGGCAAGCAGGUGGGGGGCAGGGUGCUGUUCGUCGCCGUCGGCUGCUUCCUCUUCUUCCUCGUCCUCCUCCUCUCCGCCCGGCCCGACGCCACCGUCGUCCUCGGCGGCCGUAACCGUUCGGGCGCUGUCGUCCGGCCGCGGCCGCGGGUGGGGAGCCACGGCGACCCGCAGCGGAGCGCCGAGCGGAGCAGCGCCAUGGCAGCCACAGAACGGGUUAACGACGCGGUGAUCGGCGGAGGGGAGAGGAACGGCGACGUCGAGAGAGACGCGGCGCCGGAGGAGGCAGAACGUGAGAGCAACGUCGCCGCCGCCGCCGCUACUCCCAGCUCCGACGAGCGAGCAGAACCACCGGCCGCCGCCGAGGACGCGGACCGAGACAAAUCCUUGCGGGCCGCCGUGCAGACGACGCCUCCUCCUCCGCACGGACUUCCAGCGGACGACACCACGACGCGUGCGGAUGCAGCGGGCCGGCAGCAGCGGCGGCCGCCGCUGUGCGACACCUCCGGCUUCCGCGCCGACGUCUGCGAGCUCGCCGGCGACGUCCGCUUGGACGCCAACGCGUCGGCGUUCGUCGUCGUCGACGGCGACGGCGACGGCGACGCGGACGGGGCCGAGUACAAGGUCCGGCCGUACCCGCGGAAGGGCGACGCCACGAGCAUGGGCCGCGUCACCGAGAUCGCCGUGCGGGCGGCCGUCGGCGCGGGGGUGCAGCCCCCGCGGUGUACGGCGACGCACGCCGAGCCGGCGGUCGCGUUCUCCAUCGGCGGCUACACGGGCAACCUCUUCCACGACUUCACCGACGUGAUCGUCCCGCUGUACGGCGCCGCGCAGCGCUACCGCGGCGACGCGCGCCUCGUCGUGGCCGACGCGGCCCCGCGGUGGCUCGCUAAGUAGGGCGCGCUCCUGCGCGCGCUGUCGCGCCACGCGCCGCUCGACCUCGCCAAGGCCGCCGCCGCCGGGGAGGUGCACUGCUUCCGCCGCGCCGUGCUCGGCCUCCGCGCUCGCCGGGAGCUCAUGACCGAGCCGGAGCGCGGCCUGGACGGGGGCGUCGGGAUGCCGGACUUCACGAUGUUCCUCCGGCGCGCGCUCUGGCUGCCCCGCCACGCGCCGACGCGGCCCGGCCGCCGGAAGCCCCGCCUGCUCGUCGUGUCCCGCCGCGGCACCCGGCUGCUCCUGAACGCAAACGCCGUGGCCCGCGCGGCGGAGGAGGCCGGCUUCGAGGCCGUCGUGAGCGAGCUGAGCUCGGCCGGCGACGACAUCUCCCAAGCAGGGCGGCUGGUGAACUCGUUCGACGCGCUGGUGGGCGUGCACGGCGCGGACCUCACCAACAUGGUGUUCCUGCCGCCGGGCGCGGCGAUGGUGCAGAUCGUGCCGUGGGGCGGGCUGCGGUGGAUCGCGCGGCUGGACUUCGGCGAGCCGGCGGCGGCGAUGGGGCUCCGGUACAUCCAGUACGAGGUCGCCGUCCACGAGAGCACGCUCAAGGACAGGUACCCGAGGGACCACGAGGUCUUCACCAACCCGACGGCGCUGCACAGGAAGGGGUUCACGUUCAUGAGGCGCACGUUCCUGAACGGCCAGGACAUCAUCGUCGACGUCGACCGCUUCAGGCCGGUGCUGCUCCAGGCGCUCGAGAACCUCGCGCAGUAGGUAUAGCUGUUUUUGUGUGCCGUGCACGCAUGUGUAGUUUAUGGACAAGGAUAUGUGUCCAUACAUUUGCAGAUGGGUGUCUGUGUUGUCACACAAGGCACAAAAGGUGACUGUAAGAAUGGUAACAGAAGGGCUGAAUUGUCAUGGCUACAGGCUACAUGCAUAGUACUUGAUAGGGAUGGCAAUGCACAAAUUAUACCGUGGGUCUGGGUUUGAUAAGCCGACGUGUACGAUGUCAAUUGUCACGAGUUUUAGAAAAAAAAAAUCACGUGUAACUGCUUCCCCGCA
RNA transcript from Panicum virgatum (switchgrass), 2221 nucleotides. It is a transcript of the gene named alpha-1,3-arabinosyltransferase XAT2-like, with no coding region annotated. The transcript is spliced from 5 exons. The record is from RefSeq and is a predicted model, not a curated record. Lineage: Eukaryota; Viridiplantae; Streptophyta; Magnoliopsida; Poales; Poaceae.